This 253-nucleotide ribosomal RNA is filed under the name uncultured bacterium. RNAcentral's name for it is "partial 16S ribosomal RNA". It matches the Rfam family "Bacterial small subunit ribosomal RNA", at positions 524 to 776 of the family's 1533-position model. The record is from RNAcentral.
UACGGGGGGUGCGAGCGUUGUCCGGAAUCACUGGGCGUAAAGGGCGCGUAGGUGGUUUGAUAAGGGUGUGGUGAAAGUCCGGGGCUCAACCCCGGAUCUGCCGUGCCGACUGUCAAACUCGAGGGCUGUAGAGGCAGACGGAAUUCCGGGUGUAGCGGUGAAAUUCGUAGAUAUUGGGAAGAACACCGGUGGCGAAGGCGGCGACCUGGUCCGAUACUGACGCUGAGGCGCGAAAGCGUAGGGAGCAAACAGG